Molecule: non-coding RNA, 1089 nt
Organism: Mus caroli (Ryukyu mouse)
Lineage: Eukaryota; Metazoa; Chordata; Mammalia; Rodentia; Muridae
Source: RefSeq, a predicted model, not a curated record
AUGAUACAACAGGCAUGUUUUAAACACCAUUUCACUUUUGGUACAAAAUCCCUCAAGGAGGCAAGAGUGGUAGAGGAGGACUGCCGGACUUGGGCAGGUAAACCACCACCUGGCUUACAUCUGGAUGUGGUGAAAGGAGACGAGCUAAUUGAGAAGCCGAUUAUUGAUGAGAAAAAGUACUACUUAUUUGGGAGGAACCCCGAUCUGUGUGACUUCACUAUCGACCACCAGUCGCGCUCUCGAGUCCACGCAGCACUGGUGUACCACAAGCACCUGAAGACAGUUUUCUUGCUAGACCUCAACAGCACACAUGGCACUUUCUUGGGUCACAUUCGGCUGGAACCUCACAAGCCUCAACAAAUCCCCAUCGAUUCUACGGUCUCAUUUGGCACAUCCACGAGGGCAUACACUCUGCGAGAGAAGCCUCAAACAUUGCCAUCGGCUGUAAAAGGAGAUGAGAAGAUGGGCGGAGAGGAUGAUGAACUCAAGGGCUUGUUGGGACUUCCCGAAGAGGAGACCGAGCUGGAUAACCUGACAGAGUUCAACACUGCCCACAACAAGCGGAUUUCAACCCUCACUAUUGAGGAGGGGAACCUGGACAUCCAGAGACCAAAGAGGAAGAGGAAGAACUCGAGGGUGACCUUCAGUGAGGAUGAUGAGAUCAUCAACCCAGAGGACGUGGAUCCGUCUGUUGGUCGAUUCCGGAACAUGGUGCAGACUGCAGUGGUUCCAGUCAAGAAGAAGCGGAUGGAGGGCUCUGGCUCUCUGGGCCUGGAGGAGUCGGGGAGCAGGCGCAGGCAGAACUUUGCCUUCAGUGGAGGACUAUAUGGGGGCCUGCCCCCCACACACAGUGAAACAGGCUCCCAGCCGCAUGGCAUUCAUGGGACAGCGCUCAUUGGUGGCUUGCCCAUGCCAUACCCGAACCUCGCCCCUGAUGUGGACUUGACUCCUGUUGUGCCAUCAGCAGUGGCCAUAAAUCCCACACCAAACCCCGCAGUCUAUAACCCUGAGGCUGUGAACGAACCCAAGAAGAAAUACGCGAAGGAGGCUUGGCCGGGCAAGAAGCCCACACCUUCCUUACUGAUUUGA